GUGGAUGUGGUGCAUGGCGCACCGCUGCAUUCAAUAAUUUGUAUAACUCCUCGUGAAGCAGCCGAACGGGGUUCGACUCCCCGUGUCUACA
Molecule: non-coding RNA, 91 nt
Organism: Mycena filopes
Lineage: Eukaryota; Fungi; Basidiomycota; Agaricomycetes; Agaricales; Mycenaceae
Source: the annotation of a GenBank genome assembly